Long non-coding RNA from Cervus elaphus (red deer), 1995 nucleotides. RefSeq lists it as uncharacterized. NCBI's taxonomy places the organism in Eukaryota, Metazoa, Chordata, Mammalia, Artiodactyla, Cervidae. The transcript has 3 exons. The record is from RefSeq and is a predicted model, not a curated record.
UUUUAUUCACAAAUUUAAGCUACAUUAAUCUGCUGAAAGGAGGAUAGAUACUUAAAUGGAGUUUCAAAUAACCCUCGCCUUUGAGAUCAUCUGUGCUCACAGCCCAGUAUUUGUACAAGAUGAAAUGAUUUACAGAAUCAAGCCUGGAAAAAUUGGAGGGCAACUCCAAAAGGCAAGAACAUGCUGCCGAGUCCAUCACUCAUCCUGCCAGGGAAACUUUUUGUAGUCUCCAAACUGCUAUGAGACACUGCUCUCUCUCCAGGACAGAGAAAUCAUCGAGAAGGCGGGAGGUGUGUUGGCUGCACAGCCAGAGUAAAGAACUGGAGUUCUUGGCAGGGCACUUCCACCUCAAAAGCAGACAGAGCCCUGGAAGGACUCUCACGUAAACAAAGCAGGGAGACAGCUUCAGCUCUGCAGCGAGGCUCAUCCUUUCCCAGAUCAAAGCCCGCGCCAGAGAGACAGCCCUACAGAACAGAGUGUCCUUUCUGGAACAUCCAGUUCCAGGGGGGGAGGCUUGAACUGGAGCCACAACCUUGCCACCUGUAUCCAAUGGCUUAGAUGCAAAGGCUCUCAGAGGUUGGGGAGCCCACAGCUGCUCCAAUGACAGAUCAACGGAAAGAUAAGGCAAGCAAGAGAAGUUCCUACCUUGCAAGCUCAGAUCAGCUACUCUGAGAAAAAGAAAAUGCAUCCAGCCAGCCCCGGCUCUCUCUAGAGUGUAGAAAGCGGGUGGCAAUCAGUACAGACUCAUGGCCCAGCUGUUUGCCUUGCUCUCUACUCUGCUACUUACUUACUAACUGGGUGAGCUGGGCAGGCUACUGGAUAUUUCUAUACCUUGGUUUCCUCACCUGCAAAAUGAACCUAAUAGUACCUGCUUCACAGGCUUUAAUGAAUGGUACAGGAGAAAGCUCUAAAAAUGUUGCAAUGAUCAUUUGAAAGUCCCACGGUCCUGCAUUUGAACAAGUUCUGCUAAUCGGUAGUUUUGUGAACUUGGAGAAACAACAAUAUGGGAUGACUUCCCUCAUCUGUAAAAUGGAAUUUCACCCAACCCUGGUGGGGUUGCCAUGGAGAUUUGACUUUAUAUGGCACAGAGUAGGAAUUCAGUAAAUGCCACCUCUGUUUAUUAUCAUUUUUCCUGACUUCGAAAGGAUAAAGCCCACAGGACUGGUCAAAUGGGAAGAGAUACAGUUAGUAAAACUGAGAAUCCUCUUAAGUCCCCAAAACUUCAUCCAUAUGCAAAAGAGAUACAUCCCUGGGGAUGAUUGGGUCCUGGUGUUUUAAAUACACAGCUAAUUAUAUUUUAAGAGAGAAGAGGGAACCUGGAAGUAUUCCCAAAUUUAACAUCUGCAAGCAGAGAGGAUGACGAAAUGCAUUAGUACUGAGGAAUAACUUUCUCCCAUCUUCUCAGAAAACAUCUGGGGUAUUACCCUCCCCUCUACUCAUUCCCUCACCUCCCACCCCAAAGCUGACUCUUGGCUGACAGUUUAUCAGAGAUAAAUGGAAACACCUGGGAACCAGAUAAGGCCAACUCAACGUGAUCAGCUGAGGAGACCUUGGGAACUCAUGCUACUCAAUAUUUCUCUUUCCACACCAGGCGGGGCUAGGAGUACCAUCUAGCCUGUGACAGAUGGCAAGGCUCACUUUCACAUCCACUCUUUUCUUCAUUCAUUCCAAACAACCUCAAGAGGUCAGCUGGCCCAGGUUCCUGCCUGAGGAUCUUAGGUCCCCAACCAGGAAUUGAACCCGAACCCCCUCCACUGGAAGUGCAUAACCUUCAUCACUGGACCACUAAGGAAGAGCGACUUUCUAAGUGCCACCUAUGGAGAAUUUGGAGGAAUGGAGUCUUUCCUAAAAAAAUUUUCAAAAAUGAGACAGAAGGAGAAGGAAUAGAAGAAAAUAGGAUAGAACAAAGGAAGAGGUAAGAAAGAAAGAUGGUUAAACGUGUUACUAAGUUUAAUAAUGACUCACCCCUGAAAUGUCCAUUCAUCAGCUGCGUUA